Molecule: non-coding RNA, 73 nt
Organism: Misgurnus anguillicaudatus (oriental weatherfish)
Lineage: Eukaryota; Metazoa; Chordata; Actinopteri; Cypriniformes; Cobitidae
Source: the annotation of a RefSeq genome assembly
CCUUCGAUUGCUCAGUUGGUAAAGCGGAGGACUGUGAAUCCUUAGGUCGCUGGUUCAAAUCCGGCUCGAAGGA